UCGUCCGAUUGUUUAAUAAAUUUCAUCAUUGCGAGCGUCGAGUUACGACUCUCCAUCGACACUCGACUGGACGGCGUGUCGCGUGUAAACGACAGUCACUUUCCGUAGUCGUUGUCCCGCAAUCCGUUUCUUUUUUUUGUUACUGUUUUUAUUUCAUAAAAUUAUCUGUUUUGGUUAUUAUUUUUAUUUUAUUUUUUUUUUUAUUCUCAAUACUUUCUAGUGUUUUUGGGUCUACCUUGUAAAUUCUUUGUUUCCAUGGCGUUCGUCCCGAAGAAUUCACGAACCAAGAGCUUAUUAUCUUAAUAUUAGAAACUUAACAAAAUAAACAUUAAAUGUUUAAGUGAUUACACAAUUAUGAAUAUUGACGACAUGAUUGGCAACGACAAAAUGCAUUCCUUUUGUUUACCUGUUGAAUCAUGUGUGGUUUGUGGAGAUCGAGCAUCAGGCCGACAUUAUGGAGCAAUAAGUUGUGAAGGAUGUAAAGGUUUCUUUAAAAGAUCUAUUCGUAAACAACUAGGUUAUCAAUGUCGAGGUACCAAAAUGUGUGAAGUAACAAAAAAUCACCGUAACCGUUGUCAAUAUUGUCGUCUUCAAAAAUGCUUGACCAUGGGAAUGAGAAGUGAUUCUGUGCAACAUGAAAGAAAACCAGUUACAGAUAGAAUAGAAUCUAUUCAUAAUAUGUCAACUAGCCCGGACAAUAAUAAUAUUCCUACAUUUUCAUAUGGAAAUAAUUCGUUUAUUAAAACUGAAAUGCCAUUCAUCAAAAGUGAAAAUCAUUUCAUCAAAACAGAAAUCCCAUAUGUAGGAAAUCGUUCCAUAUAUAAUGAUCAAACAGCAUUGAAUUUACUCCAAACAUCAAACGAAAAUGAUUCUUCUAUUAGAAAUCAGAAUUAUAUGGAUUAUUAUAUGGCUGAAGAUGAAGAGUCAUCAGUUAGCCAUUCUCCAAAUAAUGAACAGGAUAUUAAACCAUUUAAUCACGACAACAAAAGCCUAUUAGUACUUACAUUGGAUUCUAUGACAAAUGUUACACAACAGAACUCCAAUGGUACUGAUUCAUCAUAUGAAGUUGAAGUGCAGAGUAACAAUGUUUUAGAUAUUUCUGAAGAUGUAAUGCCAUCUGUCAAUGUUAAUUUUCCAUUCCAAUCACCCAGUCCUAAAUACGCAUACUUAAAUCUACAUUUUAUCUGUGAAAGCGCUUCAAGAUUAUUGUUUCUGUCUAUAAAUUGGGUUCAGAGUCUUCCAGUUUUUCAGCUUCUAACAUUUGAAGUACAACUUAGUCUGCUAAAAAGUUCUUGGUCACAACUGUUUAUUUUGGGUUUAACUCAAUGCGCACAGGCAUUAUCAUUGAUACCAGUACUUAGUUCUAUGAUUACCCAUUUACAAAAUGAUGAAAUUCAUAACUCACCCAACUCCAGUAAAGCUAAAGAGCUCAUUGAUUACCUCAAUAGAAUACAAGAUUAUAUUACAGAAAUGGAAAAUAUUGAAGUGAAUGAUGUAGAAUAUGCAUAUUUGAAAUUAAUAUCCUUAUUUAACACUGAUAAUCCUUCUGAAAGACAGCAGUUAUAUAAACUACAAGAAAAAGCUGUCAAAGAAUUGAAACAGCAUUUAAUCAAAGAAUGCAAUGAUGAACACCGUAUAGCCAUAUUAUUGUUACGACUUCCAACUUUACGAUCAUUACAACCUAAUAUCAUAGAAGAAAUAUUCUUUUCUAGUUUGUUGGGAAGUUUUCAAAUUGAUGCAGUUAUACCUCAAAUUUUAAAACUAAAAUGUUCUAGUACAGAGUAUGAAGAUUUUGUUUCAAAAAACUUUGUAUCAUAAUAAUUAUGAUUAGUCGUAUUUAUGGUUUGUAUUCCCAUUAUAAUCUUCUUGUAUUUAAAUUUUAGUUUUAUUUAGGCUUGAAAAAUAUUAUAAGUCAAAAUAUUUAGGUAAUAGUAAUGUCUCUACUUAUAAGAUAUUAUUUAAAAAAAAAUUAAGUUUGCAAUUAUAAAUGUUUUAGUUUUUCUAAAUACUUAAAUAGUUCAAUAUCUGGAUUAAUAACAGUGGUGCGAAACCAGACAUUUGAUAAAAAUAUAAGUUAUUUAAAUAUUGUUUGAUAUCUAAAAAAAUAGUGUUUCAGAUUGUAAACAACUCUCUAACUCACUAGUUGCUAUGGAUAUUAAUUGUAAUUGUAAUAAGUUUUAAAAUAAAACAUAAAAAAUAGUUGAGAGGAUGUCUUACAAACAGACAAAACAGUCAAUUCACAUUCAUAGUUUCAAUUUUGUGUUGUUAGCUUUAAUACUUUAGUAAAUCUAACUAUUUUAAAACUUAAUGGUAAGAAAAGCAUUCGGUUGUCUGUGUAAUCUGAAUAUCAGUGUUUACUCAAUGGAUUUUUACACUAUUUUAAUUUAAAGAAAAUUAUGUGUAUUAAUGUAUAAAAUAUAAAUAUUUUACAUACACAUAAAUCUCAUAAAAUUUAUCAAAAAAUAUCAAAAAAAAAAAACUAUAUAGCCAGAUAUUGUUCUUUUAAGCUAAAACCACAAAAUCGUAACUGCUGAAAUUAAUCUUGUUAUGUUGUGCAUUUGUGAAUUUAAAAAAAACACAUGGAUAUGCAUUAUACACAUGUCCUUUUAAAAUCAAAAAUAAUAAUCAUAGCAACUAUUUCACACUAUUACAAUAACUUUAUUUUUGUUUAAGAAAUUUCUGUUGAACAACUUUUUGUUGUGAUAGUUAUGUAUAGUUUAUGAAGCGUAAUUAGGACUUAGUAGACAUCACAAAUUAAAGAUAUCUUUAAUUGUGGUAGACAUGGUGUGUCAUGUUGGUAAAUAUUUAUGGAUGUUCGCUCAUCAUAAAACAGGGAAUGGUGAGGAAGCAGCUGGACACCAUUUCUAGUUGACAAUAAUUGAUGUGUUUUGCUGUAAUGAUUUCAAAAUAAUUCUCGCAAAAUCCAAGUUUCCGAUUGCGUCAUUGUUGUCAGGUAAAAUACUCUUAUAAAACCCUAUAGGUAAAUCAGUUUACUUUUAAAUUACCUCAGGGUUAGUAAUCGAGACAAUAAACAUAACACUUAUGUGUUGAUAUAAUAUAUUAGAUAUUUAGUUUUAGUAUUUUUUGUUAUUAAUAUAUUAUUGUAUUACAUACUAUACAUUUUUAUUUAAAAAUAUUUAAUUGUUUUUUGUUUGUAAUUUUAAUCGUAAGCGUAAGUAACUAUGUUUUAACUUAAGUACCUACUUAUAGUGAUAAUCAAUAACAUUUGACAAUAAAAUGCUGUGUUUAAAAUUAGGUAAUUAAAAUUUAAAGAUAACCAUUGUAUUAUAUUUUUA
This 3296-nucleotide unclassified non-coding RNA is filed under the name Acyrthosiphon pisum (pea aphid). RNAcentral's name for it is "orphan steroid hormone receptor 2, transcript variant X1". Lineage: Eukaryota; Metazoa; Arthropoda; Insecta; Hemiptera; Aphididae. The record is from RNAcentral.